GUUAAUCAAAUUUUUUUUUCAAAAAGAUUGGAACGAUACAAAGAAGAUUAGCAUGGUCCAUGUGCAAGGAUGGCAUGCACAAAUCGAGAUAUGAUCCAAAUUUUA
Small nuclear RNA from Papaver somniferum (opium poppy), 105 nucleotides. The record is from RefSeq and is a predicted model, not a curated record. NCBI's taxonomy places the organism in Eukaryota, Viridiplantae, Streptophyta, Magnoliopsida, Ranunculales, Papaveraceae.